AUUGAUAUUGGAAUACAGCAUAUAAUUCCCAGCGAUUUGAACGCGCCAUUUAUGACCGUCUGUGUCGUACCUGUGACGUGUGUACCGGAAGCUGAAACUCACAUUGGUAAACAGGGCCUGGCGAAGAUGGUGUACGUGUCCGACGGUCAGACCUUAGGGUCGUCACGGUCACGAUGGAGUUUCCCCAACCUGGCGAAAAUGUUUUGGGGAAUAGUUGAGUUUGUCGGCUUGUUCUUCACGACAAUAGUUCAGUCGGAUCUUACAAAGGAUAAAAUUGUCGCUGGAUCAUCACGGUUCUCGGAUGGCAGAGAUCCUCCAGGCCCCCCUGGUGGCAGGCGGCGCAUGGGCAGGAUAAACCAUGGGGCGGGGCCAAGUGCCCCACCAAUGGGAGGAGGAGGAUGAGGAAGGUAAACGCCUACACAUCCAGUGUAGGCGAUGGGCGCAUGGCAUGUUUACAUGUCUGCACCCAUGGUCCUUGGUUGCCUCUGCCGUUGGCAGAUUUUUGAUGCCAUCCUGGGAAUUCCUACAUUGUAGGGGCCAGGCUGGCUGAUGUGGCAACCGACUUCAGCGCCGCUCUCUCCGCUCGCUUCCCUUCAUUCUUUCUGCUUCUCACAACUUACUGACCCAUGUGUUCAUUUCAAACCUUGAAGAUUAAGUUAUUAUGUGCUUUAUAUCCCUCAGAUUUAAAUAAAGAUUUACAAUGUCAAAA
This is a long non-coding RNA of Gadus macrocephalus (Pacific cod), 709 nucleotides long. RefSeq lists it as uncharacterized. The transcript has 5 exons. The record is from RefSeq and is a predicted model, not a curated record. Lineage: Eukaryota; Metazoa; Chordata; Actinopteri; Gadiformes; Gadidae.